AGCAGUCGCCGCGGGAAUACAGAGGGUGCGAGCGUUAAUCGGAUUUACUGGGCGUAAAGCGUGCGUAGGCGGCUUUUUAAGUCGGAUGUGAAAUCCCUGAGCUUAACUUAGGAAUUGCAUUUGAUACUGGGAAGCUAGAGUAUGGGAGAGGAUGGUAGAAUUCCAGGUGUAGCGGUGAAAUGCGUAGAGAUCUGGAGGAAUACCGAUGGCGAAGGCAGCCAUCUGGCCUAAUACUGACGCUGAGGUACGAAAGCAUGGGGAGCAAACAGGAUUAGAUACCCCUGUAGUCCCUGUCUCUUAUAC
RNAcentral lists this ribosomal RNA (303 nucleotides) under uncultured bacterium. RNAcentral's name for it is "partial 16S ribosomal RNA". It matches the Rfam family "Bacterial small subunit ribosomal RNA", at positions 507 to 807 of the family's 1533-position model. The record is from RNAcentral.